GGAAUAUUGGUCAAUGGACGCAAGUCUGAACCAGCCAUGCCGCGUGGAGGAUGAAGGUCCUCUGGAUUGUAAACUUCUUUUAUCUGGGAAGAACUGCCAGAAUUCUUUUUGGUUUGACGGUACUAGAUGAAUAAGCACCGGCUAACUCCGUGCCAGCAGCCGCGGUAAUACGGAGGGUGCAAGCGUUAUCCGGAUUCACUGGGUUUAAAGGGUGCGUAGGUGGGCAGUUAAGUCAGUGGUGAAAUCUCCGGGCUUAACCCGGAAACUGCCAUUGAUACUAUCUGUCUUGAAUACCGUGGAGGUAAGCGGAAUAUGUCAUGUAGCGGUGAAAUGCUUAGAUAUGACAUAGAACACCAAUUGCGAAGGCAGCUUACUACACGUACUAUUGACACUGAGGCACGAAAGCGUGGGGAUCAAAC
Molecule: ribosomal RNA, 419 nt
Filed under: uncultured bacterium
Lineage: Bacteria
Description: bacterial SSU rRNA
Rfam family: Bacterial small subunit ribosomal RNA
Source: RNAcentral